This 77-nucleotide transfer RNA is filed under the name Aureimonas sp. Leaf454. RNAcentral's name for it is "tRNA-Arg". It matches the Rfam family "tRNA". Rfam says of the family: Transfer RNA (tRNA) molecules are approximately 80 nucleotides in length. Their secondary structure includes four short double-helical elements and three loops (D, anti-codon, and T loops). Lineage: Bacteria; Pseudomonadati; Pseudomonadota; Alphaproteobacteria; Hyphomicrobiales; Aurantimonadaceae. The record is from RNAcentral.
GCAUCCGUAGCUCAGCUGGAUAGAGCGCUGCCCUCCGAAGGCAGAGGUCAGGGGUUCGAAUCCCUUCGGAUGCACCA